CCUGUUUAUUAAAAACAUGGCCUAUUGAUAAUAAUUUUAGGUCAGGCCUGCCCAAUGAAAAUUUAAAUGGCUGCGGUAUCUUGACCGUGCAAAGGUAGCAUAAUCCUUAGUUUUUUAAUUGAAAGCUUGUAUGAAAGGUUUAAUGAAAAAAUAACUGUCUUUGUUUAAAUUUAUUAGAAUUUUAUUUUUAAGUAAAAAAGCUUAAAUAUCCAUAGAAGACGAGAAGACCCUAUAGAGUUUUAUAAUUUUUUAUGUGUUAAAAUUAAGUAUUCAAUUUUGUAUAUAAAAAAUUAUUUGGUUGGGGUGAUUGAAAAAUUAAUAAAACUUUUUUUUUAAAAAUUACACUUAUUUGUGAUUAUUUGAUCCUUUGAUAAAGAUUAAAAGAAAAAAUUACCUUAGGGAUAACAGCGUUAUUUUUCUUUAAAGUUCAAAUUGAAAGAAAAGUUUGCGACCUCGAUGUUGGAUUAAAAUUUUGUAUUGGUGUAGCAGCUAAUAAAAUAGGUCUGUUCGACCUUUAAAAUUUUACAUGAUCUGAGUUUAAACCGGCGUGAGCCAGGUCGGUUUCUAUCU
Molecule: ribosomal RNA, 570 nt
Filed under: Paromalia setiger
Lineage: Eukaryota; Metazoa; Arthropoda; Insecta; Coleoptera; Curculionidae
Description: partial 16S ribosomal RNA
Rfam family: Bacterial large subunit ribosomal RNA
Source: RNAcentral